CCUACGGGGGGCAGCAGUGGGGAAUAUUGCACAAUGGGCGCAAGCCUGAUGCAGCCAUGCCGCGUGUGUGAAGAAGGCCUUCGGGUUGUAAAGCACUUUCAGCGGGGAGGAAGGCGGUGAGGUUAAUAACCUCAUCGAUUGACGUUACCCGCAGAAGAAGCACCGGCUAACUCCGUGCCAGCAGCCGCGGUAAUACGGAGGGUGCAAGCGUUAAUCGGAAUUACUGGGCGUAAAGCGCACGCAGGCGGUCUGUCAAGUCGGAUGUGAAGUCCCCGGGCUCAACCUGGGAACUGCAUUCGAAACUGGCAGGCUAGAGUCUUGUAGAGGAGGGUAGAAUUCCAGGUGUAGCGGGGAAAUGCGUAGAGAUCUGGAGGAAUACCGGUGGCGAAGGCGGCCCCCUGGACAAAGACUGACGCUCAGGUGCGAAAGCGUGGGGAGCAAACAGGAUUAGAUACCCCGGUAGUC
Molecule: ribosomal RNA, 465 nt
Filed under: uncultured Klebsiella sp.
Lineage: Bacteria; Pseudomonadati; Pseudomonadota; Gammaproteobacteria; Enterobacterales; Enterobacteriaceae
Description: bacterial SSU rRNA
Rfam family: Bacterial small subunit ribosomal RNA
Source: RNAcentral